GACAGAGGGUGCAAACGUUGUCCGGAUUUAUUGGGCGUAAAGCGUGCGUAGGCGGCUGCGCAAGUCGGGUGUGAAACCCCGGGGCUCAACCCCGGAACUGCAUCCGAUACUGCGUGGCUAGAGGUAGGUAGGGGAGAUCGGAAUUCCUGGUGUAGCGGUGAAAUGCGCAGAUAUCAGGAGGAACACCGGUGGCGAAGGCGGAUCUCUGGGCCUUACCUGACGCUCAGGCACGAAAGCUAGGGGAGCGAACAGG
This 253-nucleotide ribosomal RNA is filed under the name uncultured bacterium. RNAcentral's name for it is "partial 16S ribosomal RNA". It matches the Rfam family "Bacterial small subunit ribosomal RNA", at positions 524 to 776 of the family's 1533-position model. The record is from RNAcentral.